RNAcentral lists this long non-coding RNA (7131 nucleotides) under Elaeis guineensis (African oil palm). RNAcentral's name for it is "long non-coding RNA (EGUI_LNC011575)". The record is from RNAcentral. Lineage: Eukaryota; Viridiplantae; Streptophyta; Magnoliopsida; Arecales; Arecaceae.
CCCUUCUCAGAGAGCCAAGAUUUUAACCCAUUUACAUAGUGGACCUAAAUAAUAAAUCUUAAAACAAUUACUCAUCAGGGCCUGCCAUGUAGGCAUGAUUGUUUUCUUUCCUCUGUUCAAUUUCCGAUGGCCCACCAGGCAAAUCAACGUACACAUCUGCUUUACAAGAAUAUUAUACUUAAUCAUUUGCUGCUAUCAACAGUAUUGGAAUAGUGAAAAAAAAUGAUUCAUACAAAUACUAAAAGACCACAUACACAUGUUACCCUUUUGGAAUGACUUACAGGAAAUUAUAGAACGCAACUGCACAAGUUGUAGCCCCACAGGCUGGAGUUAUUCCUACAAUAAGAAAGAAAUGCAAUUAAUUCUUUGUCAACAAGCACAUCAUCAGAACAUACACCACAAAAUAUUAAGACAAUCAGUUAUCCUCUAUAAUAACUACUUCUACAUGACUUGAAAACUUUUUUUGAUGAUUACAAGACUUGAAAACUUAAUUUCAUAUUAAGGUACAAGAUAUCUUUCUAUUCUAGAUAAAUUUGAUAAUCAAAAAAAGGAUUUAAUUUAUUAGCAACUUUACUGGAAUGCAGGAAGCUGUGGAUGAGACAGCAGCUGUAGAAACAAAAUCAACUGCAAAAAAACCCUGAUUCUAAUGAAAAUGAGCAGGGAUAUGAUUCCAGCUAAUAAGCAUUUGGAUUCUGGGCAUAGAGAAAGACAUGCCUACAAACACACACUCAAACAUGCAUUUUCAGGUGUAAACAAGGGAAGAGUCAGUCAUGCUCUGCAUAAUGGAGAUGAUUAGGUCCAUAAGGAUAUAGUCCAUGACCAAAAUAAGGGCUGCCAAUAGGUCAGAAUUAUAAAGCCAACCUAGUUUUUAACUUGAAGUUCAAUGGAAGCAAACCAUAGUGGGUGCAAGGACAGGUGCUUAAACGAUGGAAAAUAAAAUUGAUGGCAUGCUUGUUUACAGUAUUCAGUUACACAUUCAUCAAAGAAUAGUUGUAUGAAAAUUGUCUAGUAUCCAGCUGUAUGAGCAAAUUGUAGCAGAUAUAUUUUAAAGAAAAAGGCUAUGUCUCUAUUAUAUCAUUCUUGUGGACAGAUUGUGUUAUAAUAUUUGUUCAUGAGGUCCAUACACAUCUUUUUUAACAUGAUGACUAGCUCAUAAGACAUUUAUUCUUUAUGAUAUGAUCCCUUUUUGUCCUUUAAAAACUAGAACAGGAGGAAGCCCAUGCCGAAAUUGGGGUGAAGGUGGGACAAUGCCAGUUGGGGAGAACCUAUGUUACUAGUAACCAACAUGCAGUGACUAUCAACUAAGUCAGUUGGCACCCUCGAGAUGACCAUAAAUUUCAAUGCGACUUUCCAUGCUGUUAGCAAGAAUGGUUAUUCUUUUGAACACAAUAUAGUAUGGUGAGGGUAUCUGCAAGAUAAUAAAAGAGGAUAUUUCUUAAACACCAAGCAUUUAGAAUCAAAUGAUGAAAUUUAUUGCCAUCUUGUCUUUAUCAAUGAACCAAAUGAUGCAAAGACUAGGCUCAAAUUUAUUUUUCAGAAGCUGAAUGGAUUCUUCUUAGCAUGGUGUGAUUCUUCCCAUUAAAAUUGAGCGAACAAUUCAACAAUUAUCAUGCUUAUAUAUUCAUUGCAGUUUACAAAACUACCAUUUUUAUAGACGGUAUAGGUAUCAUGUGAGAAAUACCAAUAUGAAACGAGUAGUGAUGGUACCUCUGUCCCACAAAGAUUUUCAUGUUCAGCAAUGAAUAGGCCAAAACAACACCUCCUAUUAUCACCCAUUUUGAGAUCCAUAAAUAAUGGAAAUUUAGAAAUAAUAGAUCGAAAUGAAUCAGCAUGAUAAAAGUCAAUGUACAUAUCUAGUAGGAUCAUACCAUUUAGCAACCAUGAAAAGAAGUUAGAUAUGAUGGCAUCAUAGCAAGCUUUUGCAGCUUUAGAAGUUCAAAUAAAUAUGUAAGAGACACGAUAUUGAAGGGAGCUGAGGAGAUGCUCUCUCCCAGUGGCCACCAUCCCAAAAAAAGUACAAGAAUUUAAAAUCUGACCACAGCAACAACAACAUAAACAUUUGGACAAUUAUAGAUCAUUCCUUAUAAUAUCUUGACCACAAGUUGAAAGAAAUGGCAUUCUAAUAAUCACCAGUUAUUUGAAAAAAGUAUCUGUUUAGUCAACAUAUGCUUUAAGUAAUUCAGAUCAAAUGGCAGAUCCUGGAACAAAUGGCAAUCUGAUGACUGUCAAUAUUUUUCUGUCUUUUCCUAGGUUUAAUGUGAUUUUCUGUUGCCUUACAUAUGGUAAAAGUUACUAUUCUCCUUCUCAUGAAAAACAUGCCCUUGUUUUCUUUUGCUUUAUUUCCCUGCAUUGAGAUAAAUUUAAAUGGAUGAAUCUAGCAAAUGACUAGAACACAAGGAUACAUGUGACACAAGUCUAAAAGAUUACUUAGCACAAUGCUAGAAAAGGUACCGCUUUCAUAAAUAAUACAGAAUGCAUAUAUCAAAUGCCAGGAUAUAAUCACCAGUGGCAGCACCUUCAAGCCUCAUGUAGACUUUCAAGUUCAAUAAUGAGCAGCAAAAACUAACUCACACCAUUACCGCAUAUCCAUGCCCAUAAACAAUGGAAAAAAGAAAAAAAAAAAACAAAGUGCAUCAGCAUGAUAAGAAGGUGACUCAAUAUCUAAAUAAGAUCAUACUUCAAAGCAAAAGAUUUUGAUACAGCAUCAAAAACAGGAAUAUAGCAACCCAUCCAGAAUGAGAAGUUAAGUAGAAAGGCUGCAUUAAACUGACAUCAACGAUUAGAGGUCUGGAGUAGAUCGUUCUCUCAUGGUCACUAUUAUGAUGAAAUCAACAUCAUUAAUCCAGGACAACAACAAGAAUUAAAAAUUUCCACCACUGCAGCAAUGGUGGAGAAGUAUAGAAUCUAUUGUUCUAUGCUCAGUAGUCUGUACCACCAAAUCACAAGGAAUUGUACUCUAAUGGCUUACUCAUUUAUUUGAGAAAUAUAUGAUUGAUCAACACAUACUUCUAUUGAUAUAGGCAUUGCUAGCCCCCAGAACAGGGGGCUCUUUGAUGCUGGUGUUUAUCUUCUAAGUUUUUGCUGUUUUCAUGUGAUCCAAAACUCUAUUUCCAGAUACAAACAAAAGGAUUUUUCUUUUUUCUUUUUUUUCUUUUUUUUUUUGACCAGGGGGUGGUGCAUUUGCUGAAGGUUGGGGGGAUUGGAUGUUGCUGCCCAAGUGGAGCUAUAUCUUCCAGACAAUCCAAAUUGUCAACCUAAAAGUUUCCAUCAAGAAACUAAUACAAGAAGCGUUCAUAAGGAAAAAAAAAAAAAGCAACAUGAACUCAACAACAAAUUAUGAUUAAAUCAUUGCCAAGACCGUGGUACUUGAUGAAUGGAAAGACACCAGACUGAUUUUGAUCCAAGGUGGAGGCUCUAGCUGGUGAUGAACUGGACUACACCACAAGAAGGAAAACAUUUGUUAGUUAAAAUUAUAAAAUAUAAUAACCUAUUGGCUCAAACAUAUCCCCUAACAAGAUCUUUUUCAUAGUUAUGAGAGAUAAGCUACAUUUCCAUCACAUUGCAAAAUGCAAGGUCAUAUGCAUUUCGAUAUCCUUAUGGAAUUAUCUCUGCUAAUAACAGUCUAACAAAACCAGGAUCAAUUACUCUAUUAUGGUGAAUGAAUUAGAAUAAAUAUUACAGAAGCAUGUUGAUCUAGAACACGUGGCUUUGGAUUAGUCAGAGCAGACAAAGUUGCCAAUCAGUUUGGGUGUGCAGGCCAAAAUGUGCAAGCUUCUUAAAAGUGAGCAUAACUUUCAAACCAUAAGUUGGAUUUCAGUGACCCAGGAUUCAUUGGAAAGCUUCAUUGGUCAAAAGUCAUGGAUCAGUCAAAGGCUAAUUCUAUCAUUUUCCUGUUGAUUUUUGGUUGGUCAAAGUUGUCCUUGCAACCUUAGGAAAGUUUUGGUGUUGGUAUACUUAGAAAGUCCAACUUCAGUCGAGAUCAAACUAGGAGAUAUAAUUUUGGAUAUAGAUAUGAUUUCUACAGAGUUUUCCGAUUUCGAGUUGUUUUACUACUUUUGGCAAAUUAGGACUCCAUAGAAAGUGAUGAUUAUGUAUUGAGACAUUGAUCAUAAUAAUAGUGAAAUUUGUUCUCUUUGCAAUUUUUUGUUCCCUAUUCUUUUAAACAGAUGGUGUUCUUCUUCUUCAUUCUUGAAAAUAAUGGUGCUUGUCUCUUUCCUUUACAUGUUUCUGCUAUGAAAGGUAGCAUGUGAAGGAUGAACUGGGGACCAAAAUCUAGACGAUGACGGAAAAAAUGACAGCUUGAAAAAAGGUGCGGGAUUGAUAAAAUAUGUUAAUAAUUUCCAUAUGAUUUGUUUAAAAGGAAAACAUGAAACUAAGAUGGAAAAAAACUUGGAGAAAGCAGCUAAUAAACGAGUCAAUCCCAUGCCUCACAAGUCAUAGAUGGGGAAUUCAUAAAAUUCAGUAGAGUAUUUUUAAAUGCAUCCUCUUAGCCUAUAGUUCAAUUUCCAAGGAUGAAACCUCGUUGCAACACCCUCCCACUCAAAACCCAGCAUGCAUCCUCUUUUUUACAGACAGUCACUAGGAUGAAGUUAACAUUCUGGUGCAUGAAAACAAAUGCAGCUUCGAUUUUUGCAAAUAUUUACAAUGGUGGCUGUUAAAAAUUGGACCAUAGUGCAAUACGGCACGGAAAGGUGUUUGACAAUUAAAGAAGAUAUUCUUGGCAAAGAGUGGUUGUUUGAAUUUUAGUAUCAGACAAUCAAUUUUCUUGGCUUGUCAUUGUUAUACAUGUCAAAAAUGAUCCAAGGAUUAGAGUCAGAUUUUUGCUAGAGUGUCAAUGAAACAUCUAUUUCUUGGCAAAGGGUGGUUGUUUCACAGUUACUAUGUUUAUGUAUCUCUGUUUUGAUUUUUUUGUUACAGAUAUUCCGUAAAUAUAACUCAGCUUUCCUUUCCAUCAUUUUCUCUGUUUUGCCUGAAUGAUAUACAUUUGAAUUGAUGACCCUAGAAGCAGACGACAGCAAUACAUAAAACAAAUUGUGGAACAUAUGCAAAAAGCUAUUUAAUGCAGUGCUGAGAAUCUCUAGCAAUACAGCAGCCCUGUGACCAUGCAGAUUUUCACCUCAGCGAUGAAAUGGGCAAAACAAGCCCACCAUUACUGCACAUCCAUGUCCAUGAUUAGCAGAAACAACAAGCUUGAAGUGCAUCAGCUUGAUAACAAGCAAGAUAGAUACCCAAGCAUAUUCAUAUUUCUUAGCAAAAUUAGAGAUCAUGUUAGGCGCGGAGAUGCCAUGAUACUAUAGCAAACUCCAGGAGAAAUCAGAAGUUAACAAUAAAUAAAUGGAGGGAUCUAUUGAAUGGAUUAAAGAUCCAUAGGAAUUAUUGGCUGACAAGUCAUUUGUAUGCCAACGCAUCAGUUCGACCUAGAUAACAUCAAUGGUCUAAUGUAACUUGAUGAUAAUAAGGAAGGCACCAUUAGUUCCAUACUGGUUGUAAAUCAAGAGGGACUCUGACUUAUGUAGGAAAAGACCAUCCUCCCAGCGUAAAGUGCCAUUUGGAUUGGAACCCAAAAGGGCAAAAUCGUGAGGUCCAUAAGCUAAAGCGGACAAUACUUCACGUGCCGGACCAUGAGCCCUUAGUCAUAACAUUGGUGGCCCAUGCAAAUUCUAAUAUGUGAUUAUGAUACACCUCCCAUCCGUACACAGACUCUCCCUUAACUAGAAGGGCUAUGGUGAUAAUAACGAAGGAGGGAACCAUUAGUCCUGUGAGUCAAUAGAGACUCUAGUUUAUAUAAGAAGGGAUCACCCUUCUCUCGUGAGGCACCUUUUGGAUUGGAAUUUAAAGGGGCAAAAUCGUGAGGCCUAUGGUCCAGAGCAAACAAUACUUCAUGUGCCGGGCCAUGAGCCCUCGGCUGCAGCAUAACUAUAUGUUAUAAGCUCUCUACUAUCAACUUGCAAGAAAUGACACUUCAAUUAGUUGUAAACAAAUUGAGAAAGCAUGGAUCUCACCACCAUAUGUUUAAAGUAAUACAUAAAUAAAUGAAAGCACUCAGGGUGCAAGCCACUCUAAAGAUGAUGUCUAUCUUUAAACUUUUCCCCUGGUUUAAAGCUACUCAGAAACCUAUCUCAGGAUACUAACAGAAGAAAGAAAGGGUUUUGGGUGGUCAAGAAACUUCAUCUUGUUGUUUAAAUAACUAGAACUGACAUGUUGCUUCUAAGGUGAAAGAUUACCCCAGGCUCACUGCCAUCUAAGUUGAAGAACCUCAUGGAAUAAUCCAUGCCUUUGGUCCCCGACACUGCAAAAAUCACGCUAUCAGCAUCAGUGCCGAAAUUUCAAUUGCACAGGUUCAGUUCCUGAUCGGGGAUAAUUGACUACCUUUAUCAACUGAAAACGCUGUCACGGAAUCAAUCAAAACUAAUACUAGAAGAAUCCCUGAAUACAGAAAUCAAGAAACCAAGAUAAGAAGAAUCCAUGGUCAAGGAAAGAAGAAUGCAACGUGGAAUCGAUCACAUACCUGGACAAAAUCGCAGUUAAGACCGUCGUAUUUGACGAAAUUUUAAUCUCACCAAAAAGUGCAAGGAAAGAAGAAUCCAUGGUCAUUGAGGAAUACCCUGAUGUCGACUCAAAGCGUUCCCGAAGAUUCUAUCAAGAAACAAAGAUGAGAAGAAUACAUGAUCACGGAAAUCAAAAAACCCAGAGCGAGAAGAAUCCGUCGUCAAGAAAAAAGAAUUGCAGAUCGAUGCGUGCCAUGAUUCAAUUGUCGCCGAGACGAUCGUAUCUGAAGAAGCGGGGCAAACCGGACUACUUUCGAUUUAAGGAGAAUGUUCUUGGAGUCUUUCCUGUGGGCUUAGACGCUCAUGGAGCGCGAGGAUGUUGGAGAGCUAGGGUUUGGUGGAGCGAUGGAGGACCUAGGUAAUUGGGACCUGGAGGAGGGAGAGGUGGAUGGAGAAUGAAGUACCAGGAGUGCGGCGAACAUCUGCCAUGUUCGCAUUUUUCUUUAUACUUUUCUUGGAAUGGCUGUUUAGAUGUUUGCCCAAAACCUUAUGGGAUUCACGUAUCGAAUCCAGGCGAUCAGACAAUCAGAUAAAUGAAAUUAAUUUAAAUUUAUCCUUUGGACCCGGACAUCCAAACAGAUCG